AAGUGAAAUUAAAAAACACUCAGCACUUACGUUAAUGAAGUACACUAAUCUAAUUAUUUAUCAUUUUGGUUAUUUCGAUACUCUUAUAAAAAAUUUAAGGGAAAUGUGAUAAAACAAAGUCUGAAAUUAAACCGGUUUUUAUCAAUUACUAAAAGAAAUUAAUUUGUAAAGGCUAUAGACUAUUUAAUUUUGUACCACCAGUUUUUCUUUCACUAUGAGCAAUAUGUGCGGGCUUUUCUAUAGCUCACAGAGAGAGAGAGGGAGAAAGAGAGAGCGAGAGAGAAUGAAACACCCCCACGCAGUCUCAACCACUCACUCACUUGUGGAGCAAAAUACAUAAAAAAAAAACCAAGCGAUUGACAGUCGACAACAGCCUAAUGACGUCACCGUCUUCAUUUCCCAGAUACCUUUUUGCCGCGGACAAAAACAUUCAAGAGGUCAACUAGUAAAUCCCCGAUAAAGUGCACCCUGAAGACCCCGUUUCGUAGCCAUCAUGAUGAGCGACAAGCAAACAAGUGCUUUGUGUGAGUAAAUAUAGCUGGAAGACCCGAAAAUGCAGACAGCAAACAUUGGGAAGACCCAAUGGCAAACAUAUGCGCGUAUGUAUGGACAUACAUAUGUAUAAAGAACUAUAAAAAACCAAAACACAUAUACACAGACACAGGAAGACUUGGGCCCGACAAGAACCUAGAAAUGUCAAUAAGCGAACACGAGGUAAAAUCGUCAGCAACGAAAGCUUUGGACCCACAUUCAAGGCUAAAAC
Molecule: long non-coding RNA, 763 nt
Organism: Drosophila simulans
Lineage: Eukaryota; Metazoa; Arthropoda; Insecta; Diptera; Drosophilidae
Exons: 3
Source: RefSeq, a predicted model, not a curated record